AAUCCACAAGUACCCAGUACCUGAUGGAUGGAGGCGGGGGACCCACCGGGUCCGCCGAGAGCGGCCCUGAGGCCCUAGCCGGCCUCUUGGGGUGAAGCCGAUGACGUACUCACGAUGUGCGUCGCGGCCAGGCAGCCCCCUUGCCUGAACCCGACGCUGACCUCGCAGGCGUAGACAGAGAGGAAAU
This 187-nucleotide small RNA is filed under the name Mycobacterium arupense. RNAcentral describes it as "c-di-AMP sequence". It matches the Rfam family "c-di-AMP riboswitch aptamer (ydaO/yuaA leader)". Rfam says of the family: This family represents a conserved RNA structure found upstream of the ydaO and yuaA genes in Bacillus subtilis and related genes in other bacteria. Lineage: Bacteria; Bacillati; Actinomycetota; Actinomycetes; Mycobacteriales; Mycobacteriaceae. The record is from RNAcentral.